AGUGAACGCUGGCGGUAGGCCUAACACAUGCCAGUCGAACGGCAGCACAGUAAGAGCUUGCUCUUACGGGUGGCGAGUGGCGGACGGGUGAGGAAUACAUCGGAAUCUACUUUUUCGUGGGGGAUAACGUAGGGAAACUUACGCUAAUACCGCAUACGACCUACGGGUGAAAGCAGGGGAUCUUCGGACCUUGCGCGAUUGAAUGAGCCGAUGUCGGAUUAGCUAGUUGGCGGGGUAAAGGCCCACCAAGGCGACGAUCCGUAGCUGGGCUGAGAGGAUGGUAAGCCACACUGGAACUGAGAUGAGGUCCAGACCCCUACGGGAGGCAGCAGAGGGGAAGAUUGGAAAAGGGGAGCAAGCCUGAUCCAGCCAUACCGCGUGGGGGAAGAAGGCCUGGGGGUUGUAAAGCCCUUUUGUUGGGAAAGAAAAGCAGCAGGUUAAUACCCCGCUGUUCUGACGGUACCCAAAGAAUAAGCACCGGCAAACUUCGU
This 491-nucleotide ribosomal RNA is filed under the name uncultured bacterium. RNAcentral's name for it is "partial 16S ribosomal RNA". It matches the Rfam family "Bacterial small subunit ribosomal RNA", at positions 29 to 506 of the family's 1533-position model. The record is from RNAcentral.